RNAcentral lists this ribosomal RNA (563 nucleotides) under Methanosarcina sp. enrichment culture clone D10. RNAcentral describes it as "bacterial SSU rRNA". It matches the Rfam family "Archaeal small subunit ribosomal RNA", at positions 109 to 670 of the family's 1478-position model. The record is from RNAcentral. Lineage: Archaea; Methanobacteriati; Methanobacteriota; Methanomicrobia; Methanosarcinales; Methanosarcinaceae.
CUGCCCUUGGGUCCGGCAUAACCCCGGGAAACUGGGGAUAAUUCCGGAUAACGCACAUAUGCUGGAAUGCUUUAUGCGUCAAAUGGAUUCGUCUGCCCAAGGAUGGGUCUGCGGCCUAUCAGGUAGUAGUGGGUGUAAUGUACCUACUAGCCGACGACGGGUACGGGUUGUGAGAGCAAGAGCCCGGAGAUGGAUUCUGAGACAUGAAUCCAGGCCCUACGGGGCGCAGCAGGCGCGAAAACUUUACAAUGCGGGAAACCGUGAUAAGGGGACACCGAGUGCCAGCAUCAUAUGCUGGCUGUCCGGGUGUGUAAAAUACACCUGUUAGCAAGGGCCGGGCAAGACCGGUGCCAGCCGCCGCGGUAACACCGGCGGCCCGAGUGGUGAUCGUGAUUAUUGGGUCUAAAGGGUCCGUAGCCGGUUUGGUCAGUCCUCCGGGAAAUCUGACGGCUUAACCGUUAGGCUUUCGGAGGAUACUGCCAGGCUUGGAACCGGGAGAGGUAAGAGGUACUACAGGGGUAGGAGUGAAAUCUUGUAAUCCCUGUGGGACCACCUGUGGCGAA